CCUACGGGUGGCAGCAGUGAGGAAUAUUGGUCAAUGGGCGCGAGCCUGAACCAGCCAAGUCGCGUGAGGGAAGACGGUCCUAUGGAUUGUAAACCUCUUUUGUCGGGGAGCAAAAGACGCCACGCGUGGCGUUCCGAGAGUACCCGAAGAAAAAGCAUCGGCUAACCCCGUGCCAGCAGCCGCGGUAAUACGGAGGAUGCGAGCGUUAUCCGGAUUUAUUGGGGUUAAAGGGUGCGCAGGCGGACGAUCAAGUCAUCGGUAAAAUUGAGAGGCUCAACCUCUUCGAGCCGUUGAAACUGGUGUUCUUGAGUGAGCGAGCGGUAUGCGGAAUGCGUGGUGUAGCGGUGAAAUGCAUAGAUAUCACGCAGAACUCCGAUUGCGAAGGCAGCAUACCGGCGCUCAACUGACGCUCAUGCACGAAAGUGUGGGUAUCGAACAGGAUUAGAUACCCCAGUAGUC
This 459-nucleotide ribosomal RNA is filed under the name uncultured bacterium. RNAcentral describes it as "partial 16S ribosomal RNA". It matches the Rfam family "Bacterial small subunit ribosomal RNA", at positions 338 to 795 of the family's 1533-position model. The record is from RNAcentral.